Molecule: ribosomal RNA, 253 nt
Filed under: uncultured bacterium
Lineage: Bacteria
Description: partial 16S ribosomal RNA
Rfam family: Bacterial small subunit ribosomal RNA
Source: RNAcentral
UACAGAGGGGGCAAGCGUUAUUCGGAAUUAUUGGGCGUAAAGGGCGCGUAGGCGGCGAUUCAAGUGACGGGUGAAAUCCCUCGGCUUAACCGAGGAACUGCCUGUCAGACUGGAUUGCUUGAGGCCGGGAGAGGCGAGUGGAAUUCCCAGUGUAGCGGUGAAAUGCGUAGAUAUUGGGAGGAACACCAGUGGCGAAGGCGGCUCGCUGGACCGGUUCUGACGCUGAGGCGCGAAAGCGUGGGAAGCAAACAGG